Molecule: ribosomal RNA, 254 nt
Filed under: uncultured bacterium
Lineage: Bacteria
Description: partial 16S ribosomal RNA
Rfam family: Bacterial small subunit ribosomal RNA
Source: RNAcentral
UACGUAGGUGGCAAGCGUUGUCCGGAUUUACCGGGCGUAAAGAGCGCGCAGGCGGUCGUUCAAGUCGCGUGUGAAAGCCCCCGGCUCAACUGGGGAGGGUCACGCGAUACUGAUCGACUCGAAGGCAGGAGAGGGUAGUGGAAUUCCCGGUGUAGUGGUGAAAUGCGUAGAUAUCGGGAGGAACACCAGUGGCGAAGGCGACUACCUGGCCUGUUUCUUGACGCUGAGGCGCGAAAGCUAGGGGAGCAAACGGG